RNAcentral lists this ribosomal RNA (498 nucleotides) under uncultured bacterium. Its description in RNAcentral is "partial 16S ribosomal RNA". It matches the Rfam family "Bacterial small subunit ribosomal RNA", at positions 27 to 507 of the family's 1533-position model. The record is from RNAcentral.
GGAUGAACGCUGGCGGCGUGCCUAAUACAUGCAAGUCGAGCGAACGGACGAGAAGCUUGCUUCUCUGAUGUUAGCGGCGGACGGGUGAGUAACACGUGGAUAACCUACCUAUAAGACUGGGAUAACUUCGGGAAACCGGAGCUAAUACCGGAUGAUAUUUUGAACCGCAUGGUUCAAAAGUGAAAGACGGUCUUGCUGUCACUUAUAGAUGGAUCCGCGCUGCAUUAGCUAGUUGGUAAGGUAACGGCUUACCAAGGCAACGAUGCAUAGCCGACCUGAGAGGGUGAUCGGCCACACUGGAACUGAGACACGGUCCAGACUCCUACGGGAGGCAGCAGUAGGGAAUCUUCCGCAAUGGGCGAAAGCCUGACGGAGCAACGCCGCGUGAGUGAUGAAGGUCUUCGGAUCGUAAAACUCUGUUAUUAGGGAAGAACAUAUGUGUAAGUAACUGUGCGCAUCUUGACGGUACCUAAUCAGAAAGCCACGACUAACUACGUG